This 434-nucleotide ribosomal RNA is filed under the name uncultured bacterium. Its description in RNAcentral is "partial 16S ribosomal RNA". It matches the Rfam family "Bacterial small subunit ribosomal RNA", at positions 29 to 507 of the family's 1533-position model. The record is from RNAcentral.
AGCGAACGCUGGCGGCAGGCCUAACACAUGCAAGUCGAACGAACCUUUCGGGGUUAGUGGCGGACGGGUGAGUAACACGUGGGAACGUGCCUUUAGGUUCGGAAUAACUCAGGGAAACUUGUGCUAAUACCGAAUGUGCCCUUCGGGGGAAAGAUUUAUCGCCUUUAGAGCGGCCCGCGUCUGAUUAGCUAGUUGGUUGAGGUAAUGGCUCACCAAGGCGACGAUCAGUAGCUGGUCUGAGAGGAUGAUCAGCCACAUUGGGACUGAGACACGGCCCAAACUCCUACGGGAGGCAGCAGUGGGGAAUCUUGCGAAAUGGGCGAAAGCCUGACGCAGCCAUGCCGCGUGAAUGAUGAAGGUCUUAGGAUUGUAAAAUUCUUUCAACGGGGACGAUAAUGACGGUACCCGGAGAAGAAGCCCCGGCUAACUUCGUG